AACGAACGCUGGCGGCAUGCCUAACACAUGCAAGUCGAACGAGAUCUUCGGGUCUAGUGGCGCACGGGUGCGUAACGCGUGGGAAUCUGCCCUUUGGUUCGGAAUAACAGUUGGAAACGACUGCUAAUACCGGAUGAUGACGAAAGUCCAAAGAUUUAUCGCCAGAGGAUGAGCCCGCGUAGGAUUAGCUAGUUGGUGUGGUAAAGGCGCGCCAAGGCGACGAUCCUUAGCUGGUCUGAGAGGAUGAUCAGCCACACUGGGACUGAGACACGGCCCAUACUCCUACGGGAGGCAGAAGUGGGGAAUAUUGGACAAUGGGCGAAAGCCUGAUCCAGCAAUGCCGCGUGAGUGAUGAAGGCCUUAGGGUUGUAAAGCUCUUUUACCCGGGAUGAUAAUGACAGUACCGGGAGAAUAAGCUCCGGCUAACUCCGUGCCAGCCGCCGCCGUAA
Molecule: ribosomal RNA, 449 nt
Filed under: uncultured bacterium
Lineage: Bacteria
Description: partial 16S ribosomal RNA
Rfam family: Bacterial small subunit ribosomal RNA
Source: RNAcentral